GAAUUUACUUAAGUAGUUUAAAAAAAAUAUUAAUUUGUGGCGUUAAAGAUAUAGAAGAAAUAUCUUAA
This 68-nucleotide transfer RNA is filed under the name Rhynchophorus ferrugineus (red palm weevil). RNAcentral's name for it is "tRNA-His". The record is from RNAcentral. Lineage: Eukaryota; Metazoa; Arthropoda; Insecta; Coleoptera; Curculionidae.